This 253-nucleotide ribosomal RNA is filed under the name uncultured bacterium. Its description in RNAcentral is "partial 16S ribosomal RNA". It matches the Rfam family "Bacterial small subunit ribosomal RNA", at positions 524 to 776 of the family's 1533-position model. The record is from RNAcentral.
UACGUAGGGUGCGAGCGUUGUCCGGAAUUACUGGGCGUAAAGAGCUCGUAGGUGGUUUGUCGCGUUGUCCGUGAAAACUCACAGCUCAACUGUGGGCGUGCGGGCGAUACGGGCAGACUGGAGUACUGCAGGGGAGACUGGAAUUCCUGGUGUAGCGGUGAAAUGCGCAGAUAUCAGGAGGAACACCGAUGGCGAAGGCGGCAUCCUGGACCGGUAUUGACGCUGAGGCGCGAAAGCCAGGGGAGCAAACGGG